Non-coding RNA from Notechis scutatus (mainland tiger snake), 200 nucleotides. NCBI's taxonomy places the organism in Eukaryota, Metazoa, Chordata, Lepidosauria, Squamata, Elapidae. The record is from RefSeq and is a predicted model, not a curated record.
UGGUAUUUUUUAAAGGUAAAGGUUUUCCUGUCCAAUCAUGUCCGACUCUAGGGAGUGGUGCUUAUCUCUGUUUCUUGGCCGAGGGAGCCAGCAUUGUCUGAAUGCAAUUUUCUGUAGUCAUGUGACCAGUGUGGCUAUAUGCUAAAGGUGCACAGAACUCUGUUACCUUCCUACUGGAGUGGUACCUAUCUAUCUGCAUU